CUACGGGUUGCUCCAGUGAGGAAUAUUGCACAAUGGGGGGAACCCUGAUGCAGCAACGCCGCGUGGAGGAUGACGCAUUUCGGUGUGUAAACUCCCUUUAUAUGUCAAGAAAAUGACGGUAGCAUAUGAAUAAGCACCGGCUAACUCCGUGCCAGCAGCCGCGGUGAUACGGAGGGUGCAAGCGUUACUCGGAAUCACUGGGCGUAAAGGACGCGUAGGCGGGUUGGAAAGUAGGUGUGAAAUCCUACAGCUUAACUGUAGAACUGCACUUGAAACUUCUAAUCUAGAGGAUGGGAGGGGGAGAUGGAAUUAGUGGUGUAGGGGUAAAAUCCGUAGAUAUCACUAGGAAUACCUAAAGCGAAGGCGAUCUCCUGGAACAUUACUGACGCUAAGGCGUGAAAGCGUGGGGAGCAAACUGGAUUAGAUACCCCAGUAGUC
This 438-nucleotide ribosomal RNA is filed under the name uncultured bacterium. RNAcentral's name for it is "partial 16S ribosomal RNA". It matches the Rfam family "Bacterial small subunit ribosomal RNA", at positions 339 to 795 of the family's 1533-position model. The record is from RNAcentral.